GGUGAUUCACGAUAACUUCGCGAAUCGCACGGCCUCGCGCCGGCGAUGAUUCGUUCGAAUUUCCGCCCUAUCAACUUUCGAUGGUAAGGUAGAGGCUUACCAUGGUGAUCACGGGUGACGGAGAAUCGGGGUUCGAUUCCGGAGAGGGAGCCCGAGAAACGGCUACCACUUCUAAGGAAGGCAGCAGGCGCGCAAAUUACCCAAUCCCGACUCGGGGAGGUAGCGACAAUAAAUACCGAUACGGGUCCCCGACGGGGACCCGUAAUCGGAACGAGAAAGAUUCAAACCCACUAUCGAGGAACGAUUGGAGGGCAAGUCUGGUGCCAGCAGCCGCGGUAAUUCCAGCUCCAAUAGCGUAUAUUAAAGUUGUUGCAGUUAAAAAGCUCGUAGUCGAACGGCGGCUCGCCCCCGCUCUUGACUGAGCCGGGGGUAUUCCCUCCCCCCCGAGGGGUUCGGGGGGCGUCCUCGGUCCGGGUCCGUCCCGGCGAGCGGCGUCCCUUCCCUCGGGGGAGGGUUUCGCGCGGGGCCGGAAGGGAGGGCGUCCCCCUCUCGGGGGAAAAGGGGUGGGGAAGGGAAAAAAAGAGGGGGGGGGGCUUCGGCCUUCCUUCUUUUUUUUUUUCCUCCCUUCUUCCCUCUCCCCCCUCGUUCUCGGUUCUCGCGGAGCUCCGACCCGUUUACCUCGAAUAAAUCAGAGUGUUCAAAGCGGGCAAGUCCAGGCCCGAAUACGUCAGCAUGGGAUAAUGGAACAGGACUCGGGUCCUAUUUUUCCGUCGGUUCGUAAGGCUCGAGUAAUGAUCGAUAGGGACGGUCGGGGGCGUUGGUAUUUAAUUGUCAGAGGUGAAAUUCUCGGAUUCAGGAAAGACCGACUUCAGCGAAAGCAUUCGCCAAGGACGUUUUCAUUGAUCAAGAACGAAAGUUAGGGGAUCGAAGACGAUCAGAUACCGUCGUAGUCUUAACCAUAAACGAUGCCGACCGGGGAUCGGGAGACGCCGCGACGAUUUGAGGGCUCUCCCGGCCCCUCGCGGGAAACCUAGAGUCUUUGGGUUCCGGGGGGAGUAUGGUCGCAAGGCUGAAACUUAAAGGAAUUGACGGAAGGGCACCACCAGGAGUGGAGCCUGCGGCUUAAUUUGUGGUGGAGCGAUUUGUCUGGUUAAUUCCGUUAACGAACGAGACCUCGGCCUGCUAAAUAGCCGCGCGAACCCUUCCGCCCCAAGGAGGUUCAGCGGUCGGGGGGAAGGGUCCCCCUCGGGAGGGGGGGGGAAGGGGAGGGGGUUCGCGCCUCCUUCUCUUCCUCCUUUCUUUCGGGGGGAUCCCGGCCCUUCCCCUUUUUCGGUCGCCCUCCGGUGGGGUUCGCGGCGUCGCUUCUUAGAGGGACCGCGCGGUACGAAACGCGCGGAAGUUCGAGGCAAUAACAGGUCUGUGAUGCCCUUUAGAUGUUCUGGGCCGCACGCGCGCUACACUGACGAGCUCAACGAGCGUUCGAUUCCCGCCCAGGCCGGAAGGUCCGGGCAAUCUUACUCAAAGCUCGUCGUGCUGGGGAUAGAUCCUUGCAAUUGUGGAUCUUCAACGAGGAAUUCCUAGUAAACGCGAGUCAUCAGCUCGCGUCGAUUACGUCCCUGCCCUUUGUACACACCGCCCGUCGCUCCUACCGAUCGAACGGUCCGGCGAAGUCUUCGGAGCGAGGUCCAGGCCCGGCCGGGGCGACUCGGCCGGGUAGGGUCGCGCGAAGUCGACUGAACCUUAUCGUUUAGAGGAAGGAGAAGUCGUAACAAGGUAUCCGUAGG
Molecule: ribosomal RNA, 1784 nt
Filed under: uncultured soil eukaryote
Lineage: Eukaryota
Description: partial small subunit ribosomal RNA
Rfam family: Eukaryotic small subunit ribosomal RNA
Source: RNAcentral